This 72-nucleotide transfer RNA is filed under the name Fidelibacterota bacterium. RNAcentral's name for it is "tRNA-Asn". It matches the Rfam family "tRNA". From Rfam's summary of the family: Transfer RNA (tRNA) molecules are approximately 80 nucleotides in length. Lineage: Bacteria; Pseudomonadati; Fidelibacterota. The record is from RNAcentral.
UGGGCUGUAGCAUAAUGGCAAUGCACCUGGCUGUUAACCAGGCUUAUGUAGGUUCGAAUCCUACCGGCCCAG